Non-coding RNA from Triticum aestivum (bread wheat), 135 nucleotides. The record is from Rfam. Lineage: Eukaryota; Viridiplantae; Streptophyta; Magnoliopsida; Poales; Poaceae.
GUUCUAUUUUCUCAGUCCGGAAAUACUUGUCAUCAAAACGGAUAAAAGGAAAUGUAUCUAGAUGUAUUUUAGUUCUAGAUACAUCUCUUUUUAUACAUUUUGAUGACAAGUAUUUUCGGACGGAGGGAGUACGAC